RNAcentral lists this ribosomal RNA (435 nucleotides) under uncultured bacterium. RNAcentral's name for it is "bacterial SSU rRNA". It matches the Rfam family "Bacterial small subunit ribosomal RNA", at positions 340 to 789 of the family's 1533-position model. The record is from RNAcentral.
UACGGAAGGCAGCAGUGGGGAAUAUUGGACAAUGGGCGAAAGCCUGAUCCAGCCAUGCCGCAUGAGUGAAGAAGGCCUUCGGGUUGUAAAGCUCUUUUAGUGAGAAAGAUAAUGACGGUACUCACAGAAGAAGUCCUGGCUAACUCCGUGCCAGCAGCCGCGGUAAUACGGAGAGGGCUAGCGUUAUUCGGAAUUAUUGGGCGUAAAGAGCGCGUAGGCUGAUUAGUAAGUUAAAAGUGAAAUCCCAAAGCUUAACUUUGGAAUUGCUUUUUAAAACUGCUAGUCUAGAGAUUGAAAGAGGAUAGAGGAAUUCCUAGUGUAGAGGUGAAAUUCGUAAAUAUUAGGAGGAACACCAGUGGCGAAGGCGUCUAUCUGGUUCAAAUCUGACGCUGAGGCGCGAAGGGCGUGGGGAGCAAACGAGGGAUUAGAUACCCG